UACGAAGGGGGCUAGCGGUGUUCGGCCUCACUGGGCGUAAAGCGCACGCAGGCGGAUCGAUAAGUCGGGGGUGAAAGCCCGGGGCUCAACCUCGGAAUUGCCUUCGAUACUGUCGGUCUCGAGUCCGGGAGAGGUGAGUGGAAUUCCUAGUGUAGAGGUUAAAUUCGUAGAUAUUAGGAAGAACACCAGUGGCGAAGGCGGCUCACUGGCCCGGUACUGACGCUCAGGUGCGAAAGCGUGGGGAGCAAACAGG
Molecule: ribosomal RNA, 253 nt
Filed under: uncultured bacterium
Lineage: Bacteria
Description: partial 16S ribosomal RNA
Rfam family: Bacterial small subunit ribosomal RNA
Source: RNAcentral